Molecule: ribosomal RNA, 126 nt
Filed under: Chinchilla lanigera (long-tailed chinchilla)
Lineage: Eukaryota; Metazoa; Chordata; Mammalia; Rodentia; Chinchillidae
Source: RNAcentral
GUCUAUGGCCUUACCACGCUGAAUGUGCCGGAUCUCAUCUGCUCUCAGAGGCUAAGCAGGGUCAGGCCUGGUUCAUACUUGGAUGAGAGAAAUGUAAAUUAAAAUACCCUUCGGUGUUAAUAAGCA